Molecule: ribosomal RNA, 463 nt
Filed under: uncultured bacterium
Lineage: Bacteria
Description: partial 16S ribosomal RNA
Rfam family: Bacterial small subunit ribosomal RNA
Source: RNAcentral
GAUGAACGCUGACAGAAUGCUUAACACAUGCAAGUCGAUGGGGAAGUGGUGCUUGCACCAUGGUAACCAUGGCGGACGGGUGAGUAACGCGUAAGGAACUUGCCUGCGGGACUGGGAUAACAGCAGGAAACUGCUGAUAAUACCGGAUAAGGUCAUUAAGCUGCAUAGCUUAGUGAUGAAAGGAGACGCCUGCGGAGAGCCUUGCGUCCUAUUAGCUAGUUGGAGGGGUAACGGCCCACCAAGGCGAAGAUAGGUAGCCGGCCUGAGAGGGUGGACGGCCACAAGGGGACUGAGAUACGGCCCUUACUCCUACGGGAGGCAGCAGUGGGGAAUAUUGGACAAUGGGGGCAACCCUGAUCAAGAAAUUCUGUGUGCACGAAGACGGUUUUCGGAUUGUAAAGUGCUUUCAGCAGGGAAGAAGGAAGUGACGGUACCUGCAGAAGAAGCGACGGCUAAAUACGUG